GCCACAUUACCUAAUCUUAAACAACUGUAAGCACAUUUGUCAACAUUUUCCAAAUAUUUAAUUUUACGGUAAAUUACAAACACCCCCUGAAGAAUGGUCAAAUUACGAAAAAAUCUCUCCUGUUUGGGUAAUUACAAUCAUCUCCUAAACUAUAAAUUUUCUUGCACGUCCACCUUGCAGUGUCAAAUUUAGUAGAAUCUUCUAGAUUAUAUGGACUAUUCUCAAUUUUGUACCCGUUUUAUCCCAUUUGAGCUCCACAUUUGAAGCAAGAUGAUCAUAAAAUGUAUUUUUUGGCUUGUAUAUAUCAUAUUGUGGUGCAUCAGAAACUGCAUUUUUGCACAAACGAGUAAAAACUAGAGAAUAUGCCACGGAAUCUAGAAGAUUAUGUUGCAUAUGACACCAUAAUGGUGGACGUGUAAGAAGAUUCAUAGUUGAGGGGUAGAUGGUAAUAAUUCAAACAUGAGGGUUUUUUUUCGUAAUUUGACCAUACCUCGGGGGUGUUUUAAUUUACCCUUAAUUUUAUUAACUAUUAAUUAGUAGAAAAUUAAAUGAUUUAUUUUGUUCAUAUAUAUAUACACCACAGGAAUCUGGCAAGCAACGAAUUCAGCGGCCCUGUACCGGAUUCUUUGUCGAAGAAAAUCGGCGUAAAUUUAGUGUAAACUCGAGUUUGGAAAAGUGUUCGUUUAUUGAUUUUCAACUAAAAAAUAAAUAAAAUAAAAAUGAUGGUCUUAUAUUAAUUUCCAGGGUAACAGGCAAUCCUGAUCUCUGCACAUCAGGGAACUCUUGCAAGACUUAUACUAGUUCUUCACUAACCGAAUAAUCGAGGAUUGGGCUAUUCUGCACUACGACGAGGAUGAAGAAAAAGAUAAGUUUCUUCGAUUUUUAUUAUCUGAAAUCUUAUGAUAAUGUGCACUUAUCUGAGUUUAAGUUACUAAUAUGUUAGGCUAUUUUCAUAGUAAGUGC
This 963-nucleotide long non-coding RNA is filed under the name Erythranthe guttata (spotted monkey flower). RNAcentral describes it as "long non-coding RNA (EGUT_LNC003723)". Lineage: Eukaryota; Viridiplantae; Streptophyta; Magnoliopsida; Lamiales; Phrymaceae. The record is from RNAcentral.